UCGUAUAAACCAACACGCAUUGAGAUGAAUAAUGGAAGUACAGUACUGAAGACAGCCAAGCUGAUUUAUCACAGCGAAUCAUUCACUGCUCCAGCCCCAGCUCUCAAUUAUGCCACUUUAAAUCACGCGCACACACACAGAAAGAGAGAGAGAGAGAUAAGCUAUUUGUGGCCAGAUCUAGUGAAAGAGAAAGAAAAAAAAAAUCCGGAUUGUUGAACAGAGGGAAGUGGGAAAUAAAAGACAAAAGGGAUCUUUCCCCCCAGCGUGGACAAGCGCUCUGUAAUGCAGCUUGGAAGAAAAUAAAGUCUGAACAAAACUAGACGGUGAGACAAGCACGUAGGAGAGGGUGAAACUGACGUUAACGCAGACUCUAUGGGAAUCUGGUCACUGGGAAGCAAAACCCCCUCUCCUUUGCUCGCUCUCACACAAUUUUUAAAAGAAACGCACUAGAACUGAGUUGCGACGAAACUUGGCUUUAAAGGUAUUCACACGCUGGACACGCUUCAGUAGAGGUUUCUUUGGAGAACGUAUGGUGGGGAAGAGAGACCAGGGAGGCAUCUGCACGUAAGAGAGGCGAAAGGCAGCCUUGCUUUAUAAUCUCUUAUGCCAACAAUUAAUUGCUAAACUUUCUUUAAAGGGUCUUGGGUUGUGGUCAAAAUGCACUAGAAGGCUCCCGAGAGACCUAUAUGUAUAUCUAUAGUAUCUUUCAGGGGACACACACACUCACCCUCUCUCUCUAUUUAUAUAUGUAUUAUGGCUCCCAAUGAAUUCUACAGUAGAGACGGAUACUUGUCAAAUGUAUAUAUUUUGAGUCGGCAUUCAUAGAUGCAUUUAAAAUAGAGCGAGGUGCCUCUAUUAAGAGCUGUUGAGUCAUUCUGCAAAUCCUGCCAGCACGGUUUUGCACAACAUUUAUAUUAUGUCUGUUACUAUUCUUGUUUUAUUAACUGGCUGUAAAUCCCUGCAAUUAACACAAAGCCCUUCAGGUAACGUCCAGACGGUGAAUGGAAAUCGAUAAAAGUAAGGACAUUCGUAAUCAGCACUUCCGUCUUGUCACCUGCCCUCUGGUGACGAGGUAUUACAGUGAUCGGAGUCGGUGUGAAACGGAACACAGCACAGGAGCUACACUCCUAUCAACGUACGGCUGUGCAAACUACUACCCCGCACCACUCCGGAGGGACUGGAAAAGUGCUGCAUACUGACUCCUUAUCACAAUGCACAGGGCCUGAUCCUGAAGCCAAACUUCAGAGAAAUCAAAGGGAGUUUUACCGAAGUAGACAGCAAGAUGAGACCAAACUGCCACCUGAACUUUCACUGACUUCACUGGGAGCAGUCCCUCUCGUUCAGUCAUCGUAGCAAAGAACAGAAGUAAAAGGCCCGCUCGAGCUCCCAUUUAGGCUAAUGGCCACAAUCCCCGUUGCUUUCAAUCGACCGCUAUUCGGUAGGCACGUCAGUGGAGCUCCAUGUGAACGGGGUUGUAUCUUUGCUAGACUCUUUCCCCAAAGACAAUCGGGGGACAGAGACUUCAGCAGUAGCGCACACGGCUCUGGGCUGCGUAAAGAACCGAAAAACCGAAGUAAAGGCACGCAGGAAAACCACCUCUGCGGUUCCCCAGCGCUGGUGGCGAAGAGUCUUUGCGCCGAGCCUGGCAGUUCCCCACGGCUCGACUGAUCUGCAAAGGGGUCCCUGACCACCUGCUUGCCUUAGCAAGAGGCACCGCUGCUAACAAAUUGUCUUAUGAAACAUAUUGAGAACAGCUUCAUCCUGAGCUGGAAGGAGCGAUCCGUAGAGCGACUUGGUAAAACUCCCGCUGGCCGCAGACUUUCAAAGGGAGCGAGCCAGCGGAGAACAGUGCGGACGCUCCAGAUUUCUUUUUGGUACUGGGGAGAUGCACGGGGGUUGGAACCGAGUCAUGCUGUAACAGGUGCCAUGGGAGACGCAGACAUCCCACACUGUCCAUUCAUCUACCCCAUUCCCCCUCCCCCUACAAGUGGAGCUGAUUCCCCCUCUCCCUUUUCGUAUAUCUUGGUGCCCGCUACCCUCAUUCCCAAAAAGAAAACUUGUAAACGUUAUAUCCAGGCCCCGUCCACUGUUCACUUCAUCUGGGCAAUAUCACAUGCCCCUCUCCCCAGCUCCAUACAGGAAAUCUGGCUGGGGGAAUGAGCUUGCAGGCUAAUGUGUCUUUAGCAAGGAGGGGGUGACUUCAGUUAAUAUGUCUUGAAGUUAAAACUUUCUUCCUUAGUACACCUCCCCCCCCAGCCUUAGACCCUAAAGGCUGGGAUUUUUCUAUUUCCCAAAAUCAAGAGUGGUCACUGAAGUAUUUCUGUAUUAUUCGGAGUAGUUGGCUUGUGUGCAAGGCAUUUGAAUGUGCUCCCCUGAGUCAUCCCUUGACACGGAGUGAGACGGUCAGCGCGCCACCUAGAGGCAAUCCCGGGGUAUCACCUUUCGUAAGGCCUAUGCCUCAACAAAUGGGACGUGCUGCAAUGUGGUUCUUCCUCACAACGUGUUUCUAUGGAACACCUCCUCCCCCACCCUCGCAACUCCACUGCAGCAUAAUCUUAAAGAUUUUCACCUGCAUAUACAAACACCAAGUGGAAAAAUAGGUUUUGAUCCCAAGGAGCCGAGCUUAUCAGGCUUCUGUUUCAUUCACAUAAACAUUGCACAGGGGAAGGGCCUGGUCCAAGAGGCCAUGUAACACUACCUGGUACUUUGCGGAAUGAUGAAUGUGUAUUUUGGCUCCAGUAAGUAGGCAAGUCCCUCUUUGCACAGUCACACGGAAACGGCCCAACAGAAUGAAGUGGUUGAAAGAGAGGAGCCAGAAGAAAAAUCACCACAAACUUGCAGCUGAAACCAGACAACAUCCCUGCCCCAAAGCCACUGUUCCUAAAGUCCCAGUUUCAUCACCCCCUAGUGGUGAAUUUAGGAACAGCAGCCUCACAGCCUCAAGGGAGCUUGCGCUGUGAGCGCGUUGUGACUGCAGUUGUUGCUAGGCUCAAGAAUGAAGGGUUUGAUCGAAUUAUAACCGAAGCACUGAUUCUAGGUCAGGUAUCUUUAUUCAAGUGAUUCUUUAUGAUCUUCAAACCCAGGUGACCAAAAAAUACACCUAUUACAUCUCCUCUGCUUUAAGGAAACCACACAACCUGAACUUUUAUGUAUGGAAUAUAUAUGAAUGAAAAUAAAAUUAUACAAUGCUCCAGUCCUUCAAAGUAUUACCAUUUUUUUCAGCAUUCAGACAACCACACCAAUAUGCAUUAUUAUGUAUUUGUACCUGCAUAUAUUCCCUUUGCGUUGUUGUAAUCUUACAGAAGUGCAACUUAACAACAAAUGCUUCAAAUUGUCUAAACAAGACCUCUUAUUU
Molecule: long non-coding RNA, 3355 nt
Organism: Trachemys scripta elegans
Lineage: Eukaryota; Metazoa; Chordata; Testudines; Emydidae
Exons: 3
Source: RefSeq, a predicted model, not a curated record